RNAcentral lists this long non-coding RNA (990 nucleotides) under Daucus carota (carrot). Its description in RNAcentral is "long non-coding RNA (DCAR_LNC005138)". Lineage: Eukaryota; Viridiplantae; Streptophyta; Magnoliopsida; Apiales; Apiaceae. The record is from RNAcentral.
GUUUUCAUCUCAUAAUUUAAUUCAUUUUUUCUACAAAUAUUAUUUAGAUCCGAAAUUUCCCGAAGAUUAUUAUUUGCGUGUCUUCUAAGUGCAUAUAAUAGACGGAGAUAUGAACAACAAAAAGUAUAAAAAAUGGGAGGAAGCCAAAGGUUUCGUGAGAUUACAGAAGUUUAUGGGCGUCCCUGAUAUGAGAUGAGGAAAAGGAAGGAAUGAUCAAAUACAUUGCAUGAGGCUUGGAACAAGUCAGUUGCGGUUUCGACACUGAAACGAUAAGUUCUCUAAUACUAGUUUUUAUAUCGCGUAAAUAAUGGCGCUGUGCAUUAAUAACAUUUUCUCAUGCAAAUAGAUAUUGUUUUAUAAUUAGUACGCUAUGAAUAUGUGUUUAAAAAUUUUAUGUGUAUAUUUAUUUCAAAAAAAAAUAAAAAUUUAUACGUAUUCUAGAUAUUUAAAAUUAUGAUUAUAUUAAAGUGCAUAAGUUAUCUUUAUAAUAUUCUAACAUGCAUAUUAUAUCAAUUUAAGUUCAUGCAUGGAUUUUGUUGUUAUUAUGUGACAUAUUAUUAAUUUAUUAUGUGCCAUAUGUUGUGAUUAAAUUACUUUUAUACUAAAAAAAAUGUACUUGGAGGACUUGCGAAUUGUGAUACUUCAGGGCAGGUGAAACUAGAAGCAUGAAAUCUCUUCUAAUAUGCGCCUCCAAAUUUAACUCAUUAGAGAUAAGUUUUCUACCUUUUUCUUUUAAUUUAUCUACUUUGCAAUUUUAUAUAAAUUUAUGUCAUGCAUUAUUAUGUUAUAAAUGUAUUGUUGCUUUAUAUAUUCUACAAAUUUAUGUAAAUUUUUGAUGAUUAAGAUAUAUCGUGUCUCUGUGUUUAACCCCCAAUAUUUUAUUUAUAAUAACUUGCUCUCAGUAUAAAAGUGCAGGUUUCCUAACAUGAAUUGCUUAGAGGUGCUACCUAAUAUUUAGAAUACCAGUGGUUUCAAUUGAUUGUUUUGCAG